CUGAGUAGCGAGGCAAGCGAGGGGUCACGGCAUCGAGGGAGCAGGAGGCAAGGGCGAGACGAGCGCGGGGCGACUGGCGUCCAGCGGCGGCGUUGAGGGCGAACGGCAUCCGGCGGCGGCGUCCGGCGGCAGUGUCGAGGGCGAGCGACGUCAGCGACGGGCAGAGGCAGAGAGCGGGAGGGUCCGGUUCGGUUCUUCGGUUCCCGGGUGCUCACCCCUGCUUAAGCCCGAACGAAGACUCUUUAUAGGCAUACUAGCACACACAACAAGCGUACCAGAAUGCACAUCAGCGUCAACGGAGAACCGGCAUGGCUGGAGUUCACAUAAGCUGAACAGCCGCGAACUCAGACCCCGCGUGCCCAAAACAAGGCACGCACAGAUGAAGAAAGGCCUACCUAGGCCGGCGUGGUGCUGUGGCGGGCGGUGGUCGGUGGGCUGGCCUCCGGCGACGCAAGUCUCUUACUUCUUUCUCACACAGACGAAGCGGACUACUCACUCUCUCUCUCGCUCCCUUGGUCUCUCUCGGUCUCACUCUCUAACCGAGCCCAUGCACGGCUGAACCUCUCCCGCUCUCCCUCAGUCGCACGGAACUGUCCUUCUCGGUCUCUCUCCCUCGAGCUCAUCUCUCUCUCAGCCCAAAAUCUACGGAUAAACCAGAACCCCCUUGCUUUCCCUCUCUCUGUCGCUCUCCCUUGCUUGGUCCCUCGGCCAAAAAGGAAACCCUCAAAAAGAGAGGAUGGAAGAAGAAGAAGAAGAAGAAGAAGAAGAAGAAGAAGAAGAAGAAGAAGGGGGUGAUUUCGACCUAGAGAGGGGGAAAGAGAAGAGAGAGAAAGAGAAGAAAACAAAAAAAGUUUGGGGGAGGCAGGAAGUGACGUGAGGAGGAAAAAGGGGAGAAAAGAAAGAGAGAGAGAAAAAG
RNAcentral lists this long non-coding RNA (916 nucleotides) under Eucalyptus grandis. RNAcentral's name for it is "long non-coding RNA (EGRA_LNC002507)". Lineage: Eukaryota; Viridiplantae; Streptophyta; Magnoliopsida; Myrtales; Myrtaceae. The record is from RNAcentral.